CCCGGAGUGGCUAAUCGGGAGGGUCUGGAGAAUUCCCGGUGGGCCGCGCGAUGUUUGGGCCGCAUGGGCCGGUGCUCUCGUUUUUGUUUUUUAUCAUUUUAUUUUUAUUUUUUGGUGCCGGUGUUCAGUCAUGGCACUGAGGCCGCCGGGCUGAUCUCAUACGCUCCUCCCGGCUGUCUCUACCUGCAGGCUGCAGCUCGUUUUUUUUCUUUUUGCCCAAUAUGCGCCUGUGCGCACCACGUGACCUCGCAGUUGACGGAAAGAUGGAAAGUAGAAAGAGCAAGGGUGGCGCGGAGAAGGCAAGAAUUAAAAAGAGGAAAGCGCUGGAAACAGAUGCAGCUAAAUGUGCAAAAAUGAGCACCUUUUUUUCUCAAACAAGCUUGCGGUCUUUAACUUCAAAUGAAGAUAAAACGGCCCACAAGAUCCAGUAGGCCUAAUAAGCACCAGGCAGAAACCCACCAUUCCAGAGUGGACAUGUACAGGUAGGAUUACUUAUUGAGUCAGUGAACUGAAUAUUAUUAAAAUUUAUAUGAUGAAAACUAUCCUGGCUCUAUAUGAAAGUGUUCUAAAAUGCUAGAUGAUUCAGCAUUGAUCAGAAAGCGUGUAAAAAGGAAAAUGAAUGCUGAAUUGUGACAAUUUUCACACAAUGUAGUGUCAGAAGAAGAGCCAGGAGCCAGCAGUGAGGGUAUUGCUCCUGUUGGGAUAGAAGGUGAGCCAACUCAUGUGCAAACAAGCAAACAUUAGUUUCAUUAUAAUAAUUUUAAUGUCCAAAUAAUAGUAGUGACCUGUUGUAUUUUUAUUAGUAAAUGCACAAAGCCCACAACAGAUAGUUAUUAGAAUGAAAGUAAAAUGAAAUAAGCCUGCAUAUUUUGCCAUAGAAAAUAUUUUAAUUGGUUACAAAAAAUGUGUUUUCCAUAUCAAAUGUGCUAAAGCUUUACAGAUGAUUAUUUUAAUUGUGUGCAGGUGAGUCUAGGGAAACUGGAAAAAGUGUGAAAGGGAGUGCUGAGUCAUUUCAUUUUAAAGGUUUGAAAAUCUCAGAACAGCUGUUUGAACAGAAGGUAGAUUGUUAUAUUGUUAGAGAAUGUGUUGUAAAGAACAAUGUUGGAGAUGUGCACUGAUGUUCAAAUAAACCUACAUUGUAAAGCAA
Nothobranchius furzeri (turquoise killifish) is the source of this 1147-nucleotide non-coding RNA. The record is from RefSeq and is a predicted model, not a curated record. NCBI's taxonomy places the organism in Eukaryota, Metazoa, Chordata, Actinopteri, Cyprinodontiformes, Nothobranchiidae.